Camelus dromedarius (Arabian camel) is the source of this 104-nucleotide small nuclear RNA. Lineage: Eukaryota; Metazoa; Chordata; Mammalia; Artiodactyla; Camelidae. The record is from Ensembl.
GUGCUCACUUCGGCAGCACAUAUACUAAAAUUGGAACACUAUACAGAUUAGCACGGCCCCUGUGCAAGGAUGACGUGCAAAUUCGUGAAGCAUUCCAUAUUUUU